CUCUGGUUCUCAGUUUAUUUUGGAGAGAAAAGAGCGAAACGAAGGAGAAAGAAAGAGGAGGGGGUUCGAUCUAUAUAUGCAAUUGACGCGAAGCUCAUUGAUUGUUCUCCGGAGUAGAUUGAUUAUUAUUGUUGAAGAUCGCACAUCACCGAUUCGGCAUAAGAUCGAAAUCGAAUCGACUUUCUUAUUAUGAGAUUCAAUCUCCAAUAACUUUCUCGACUGAAGAGAUGAAGGGAGCAAAACCGAGAAGAGAUGGAGAAGAGAGAGGGUUCGAAUGAGCAAAACCGCAGGAGAAGGGUUUCAAUCUCUCUUGAUAUUGCAUUCUCCACCCAAUGUUUUCUUUGAAUUCGAAGGUGUAAUUAGAUAAUGAUGAUUGAAGGCCAUUGGGCCCAAUGGAUCUUCAUAAGGUAAUAUUAAUUAAGCUCAAUUGUAUUGUUGCAGCUUGGGGACUACUCAACUACUGUCUAUUUGAAUUUUAGGGCAUUCUUUGGGAAAAGUCUGAUGUAACAAGGGAAAGCUACAAAUUACAAGAAUUAUCAGAACAUCACCUUAUGAGGCGAACUACAAGAUAAAGAAUGCAAACAAAUGGAAAGGGGUAGUACUAUGAGUUAUUCCAAAAUACCAGAUUGGGGAAUCCCAUAAUUCUCGAUUUUUAGGUUUGUGCUGUGUU
This is a non-coding RNA of Camellia sinensis, 670 nucleotides long. The record is from RefSeq and is a predicted model, not a curated record. Lineage: Eukaryota; Viridiplantae; Streptophyta; Magnoliopsida; Ericales; Theaceae.